AGCUCCGAUUUUUUGAAGAGCGCAUCUAUUAGAUUAAAACCAAUCGGGUUCGCGCCCGUCAAUUGGUGACUCUGAAUAACUAUAGCUGAUCGCAUGGUCUUGAACCGGCGACGUGUCUAUCAAGUGUCUGCCUUAUCAACUUUCGAUGGUAGUUUAUGUGCCUACCAUGGUUGUAACGGGUAACGGAGAAUAAGGGUUCGACUCCGGAGAGGGAGCCUGAGAAACGGCUACCACAUCCAAGGAAGGCAGCAGGCGCGCAAAUUACCCACUCUCGGCAAGAGGAGGUAGUGACGAAAAAUAACGAGACCGUACUCUUUGAGGCCGGUUAUCGGAAUGGGUACAAUUUAAACCCGUUAACGAGGAUCUAUGAGAGGGCAAGUCUGGUGCCAGCAGCCGCGGUAAUUCCAGCUCUCAAAGUGUAUAUCGUCAUUGCUGCGGUUAAAAAGCUCGUAGUUGGAUCUGCGCCUCAGGACUUGGUCCGCCCACUGGGCGAGAACUAGGCUCCUGGGCUAGUUCUGCUGGUUUUCUCUACGUUGCCUUCAUCGGUCGCGUAGGGUGGCUAGCGAGUUUACUUUGAAAAAAUUAGAGUGCUUCACGCGAGCUUAUGUCUGAAUACUCGUGCAUGGAAUAAUAGAAUAGGAUCUCGGUUCUAUUUUGUUGGUUUUCUGAUCUGAGAUAAUGGUUAAGAGGGACGGACGGGGGCAUUCGUAUCGCUGCGUGAGAGGUGAAAUUCUUGGACCGUAGCGAGACGCCCGACUGCGAAAGCAUUUGCCAAGAAUGUCUUCAUUAAUCAAGAACGAAAGU
This 804-nucleotide ribosomal RNA is filed under the name Contracaecum aff. rudolphii E JB-2021. RNAcentral's name for it is "SSU rRNA". It matches the Rfam family "Eukaryotic small subunit ribosomal RNA", at positions 174 to 990 of the family's 1831-position model. Lineage: Eukaryota; Metazoa; Nematoda; Chromadorea; Rhabditida; Anisakidae. The record is from RNAcentral.